UAUUGCAUAACGGCUUGCAUU
This is a non-coding RNA of Caenorhabditis elegans, 21 nucleotides long. The record is from Ensembl. Lineage: Eukaryota; Metazoa; Nematoda; Chromadorea; Rhabditida; Rhabditidae.